UCUAAGAACCCGUGCUUGACACGAGGUUGCAAGUUUGUUUGCAAAGUGCUCCUGCUGGUGCACUGGAGCUGAAGGAAGAAGUUGCAGAGCUUGUGAGGGCAGAUCUCCCUCAAGCCAUCCACACAGAACUGAAUGGAGACAGGCUGCGUGGACGGUGGUGCAGACGGCUUCUGGGAUGCGAUGGCUGCUGCUGAGUUACUGGUUGCCUCUUCAUGCUGCUGAUGGUGCAUUGAUGAUGGCCCAGGAGCGUCACUGGCUCUGGGAGAAGCCAGCUGCCAUGUUGUAAGGAUGCUCAAGCAGCCCUGUGGAGAGGCCCACAUGGUGAGGAACUGAGGCCUCCUGCCAACAGCCACAUGAAUGCGCCAUCUUAAAAUUGCUCCUCAGCCCCAUCAAGCCCUCCAAAGACUGUAGUCCCAGAUGACACCUGGAUUGUAACCUCACAAGAGACCCUAAGCCAGAAGCACCCAGCUGAUCCACUUCCAAACUCCUGACCCACAGAGAAGUCUAACAUAAUAAAUACAUUUAUGGUUUUAAGCCACACAGUUUGAGGGUAAUAAUCUGUGUAGCAAUAAAUAAUUAAGA
Myotis daubentonii (Daubenton's bat) is the source of this 582-nucleotide long non-coding RNA. RefSeq lists it as uncharacterized. The record is from RefSeq and is a predicted model, not a curated record. Lineage: Eukaryota; Metazoa; Chordata; Mammalia; Chiroptera; Vespertilionidae. The transcript has 3 exons.